Molecule: RNA transcript, 1622 nt
Organism: Selaginella moellendorffii
Lineage: Eukaryota; Viridiplantae; Streptophyta; Lycopodiopsida; Selaginellales; Selaginellaceae
Gene name: ADP-glucose phosphorylase
Exons: 6
Source: RefSeq, a predicted model, not a curated record
GCUAGGGCAGGGCAAAUGGCGGAGCUCCGGCAGAGCGUCCAGCCGCGAUGGGUGAUCGUCUCCUCUGCUCGCGGCAAUCGGCCACAUGAUGUUUCCUCCGAUCACAGCGGCAGCGAUGGCGGUAAUCACAGUGGCGGCAAUCACAGUUGCCCGUUUUGCAGGAAUCACGAGCACGAGACAGGGGACGAGACGUUUGCGUUCCGGGAGAGCGACGUGGUGAGCGCGCCGGAUUGGAGCGUCCGCGUCGUCUACAACAAAUUCCCUGCUGUGGAUUCUUCGCUGUCGCCGACGUGCACGAUCGAUGAGGAUUGUCAUCGUAGCCGGCGCUCUGGAUUUGGAUCGCAUGAGGUGGUCGUGGAGACGCCGGAGCAUGGAAUCCAAUUCGCGGAGCUUCCGAUCGACCAGGUAGAGCGAGUGCUCAAGGCGUUCCGGCACCGGCUCAAGGAUCUCAGGAAUGACAAGCGAUUCCAAUGCGUCCAGGUUUUCAAGAACAAUGGCAAAGAAGCUGGUGCGUCGCUGCGUCACUCCCAUAGCCAAAUCAUCGCAUUGCCUAUGGUACCUCAAGAACUAAUGUGGCAAGUUAAAAACUCCAAAGAGUUCUUCGAACGUAAGGGACGCUGUCUCCUUUGCGAGUCCGUGAAAGCCGAUCUUCGAGAUCGCUCAAGGUUGAUCGAUCAGUCAUCAGGCUUCGUUUCAGUGGCGCCCUUUGAAGCUCGCUUCCCGUUCGAGACGUGGAUUAUUCCCAUCAACCAUAGUUCCAACUUUGAGGAGACGAGUGAUUCCGAGAUCGGGGAUUUGGCGAGAUUACUUCAUCUAACAUUGAAAAAAAUAGUGCAGCAAUUUCCAGGCGCUGCAUACAACUACGUGCUUUACAACAAUCCUUUCUGCGAGGAAACCAACACGGAGUAUUUCCACUGGUACAUUGCAAUCCUCCCUCGACUGGGAGUGCUGGGGGGCUUUGAGCUUGCCACUGGUUGGACCAUCAACACGGUGGCUCCUGAGAAAGCCGCUCAAACUUUGAGGGAGUGCGUCCUCAAAUGAUCUGGCGCGCAUUUUUCUUAUCAUUCAAGCUUAUGCUUGACAAUUUUUCUCUUGUCAAAAAGUUUUCAUUUACGGAUUGCAAGAGAGAUUCUUACAGGUACGUGACUUUCAUGCUCACUGUGCUGGUGAGUUCUAGCAUUUUCGCAUUGAAUAAUGAAGAGCUUGCUCGCUUGCUCUCUCCGAUCGUUCCUUCUCUGGAGCUUUGCUUUUAUGGUUUCUCACAAUCCUCGUGUACAUGGUUUUAUAUUUGUAAAACUUGCAGGGACAAGCUUACAAUGACAAUGGGCGAUUCUAUGAACUAUCUGGGAACGAACGAGAACGAAAGCCACCAUAGCUGAGUCCUCGUGUUGGUAGCGACAUGAGAAUCCAUCCAUGGUUUUCAUAAAAGAUCAUUAAAUUGGCACAACGAUGUGUGCGUUUUGUCGCGUGGAUGGAGAGGGGAAAAAUGGCCGUUGGAGGGACAGCCGUGCACGAACGGACAGGAUGACUUGCGGCACUGCGACCAUUGGAUUAAUUUGGUGAUUACCCCUUAAUUCCAGACGCUGCUUAGGACAGAGUUAAUGUGAACGAAUUUACCGUUU